CCUACGGGUGGCUGCAGUGAGGAAUAUUGGUCAAUGGACGCUAGCCUGAACCAGCCAAGCCGCGUGCAGGAUGACUGCCCUAUGAGUUGUAAACUGCUUUUGUAUGGGGGUAAACUCCAGUAUGUAUACUGCUUUGCAUGUACCUUAUGAAUAAGGAUCGGCUAACUCCGUGCCAGCAGCCGCGGUAAUACGGAGGAUCCGAGCGUUAUCCGGAUUUAUUGGGUUUAAAGGGUGCGUAGGCGGGUUGUUAAGUCAGUUGUGAAAGUUUGCGGCUCAACCCUAAAAUUGCCGUUGAUACUGGCAUUCUUGAGUACAGGAGAGGUAUGCGGAAUGCGUGGUGUAGCGGUGAAAUGCAUAGAUAUCACGAAGAACCCCGAUUGCGAAGGCAGCCUGCUGGACUGCAACUGACGCUGAUGCUCGAAAGUGUGGGUAUCAAACAGGAUUAGAUACCCUAGUAGUC
This 460-nucleotide ribosomal RNA is filed under the name uncultured bacterium. RNAcentral's name for it is "partial 16S ribosomal RNA". It matches the Rfam family "Bacterial small subunit ribosomal RNA", at positions 338 to 795 of the family's 1533-position model. The record is from RNAcentral.